RNAcentral lists this long non-coding RNA (282 nucleotides) under Cucumis sativus (cucumber). RNAcentral's name for it is "long non-coding RNA (CSAT_LNC002428)". Lineage: Eukaryota; Viridiplantae; Streptophyta; Magnoliopsida; Cucurbitales; Cucurbitaceae. The record is from RNAcentral.
GGCGGCGAUUUCGGAGAGCGUAACGACGUGAAGUGGUGUAGAGUUUCGGAUCUUAUCGCGCCAUCGGUGAAGAAGAUAAUAAGCGACGGAGAAGAAAAGGGUGAAGAAGAUUGUGUUGGUGAGGUAGAGAGGAAGGGGAAGAGCAUCGGAAGCUUUAGGCGAUGCAGUUUUCAAGUGUUGAUGUUCGGGCGCCGAUGCGUUUUGUUCGUUCCGACUGAAGGUACAGGUGGCAGCACCACCAUCCUGCACGGCGUUGGGACGCGGUGGUCGGACAGAACGCCG